Molecule: long non-coding RNA, 281 nt
Organism: Eptesicus fuscus (big brown bat)
Lineage: Eukaryota; Metazoa; Chordata; Mammalia; Chiroptera; Vespertilionidae
Exons: 3
Source: RefSeq, a predicted model, not a curated record
CAGAAGCCAGGCUCACAGCUGGAGAGUGCAGUGGCAGUGGUGGGAACCUUUCCUGCCUUAGAGCAGCUCUAAGGAGCAGUGAGCCAAGUGACCAAUAAUGUGGAUCAAGCCAAGACAUAACUCAGCUGAUUCUGCCAGGGAAGGAAAAUGCCUAUGCACCAGAGAAGCUGCAGAACCUAGUGUGUUGAUGGCUUCUUGUGAAUGAGAGGAAAUUAUCAAACACAACCCAAUUUCAGCUCUUGGGUUAGAUAUGGCAACUCUACUAGAGCAAAUCAACACAG